UAUAGAUUUCAAGGAAACAGAUGGCAGUGCGCAUCACUGAGUGACAAAAUGAGCAUCACUAUUGCAUGGGUUAGGGCCGAUCAGCUGUCUUUGGCUCACUCUGCCGUAGUUAGGCGGGAACAAACUCACAGGUGUGCUGAUAUAACCGAGGCGUCUCAGGGUCUCCGGGUUUCGACUUCCUGGUUCCUGAGUCCAGUUGUCCCCGGCGAUUUUCUCCUUGAUGGCGGCGAUGGAUAGUUCCGCCUGUUGCUGCCGCAGAUUUAUGGUCCCCAUCGAUAUCCCUCGCCUAUCGAUCUAUCUGCCGACCACAACACCACACUACGGUUUCGAGGUUCAUUUCAGCGAAAGAGGAGUGCAAAAGGAGGCUAUAUUUGUCCAACGUAGGCCAUCGCCCACACCCUGGGAUUAGGUGCCUCAUGUUCAACUGACUGAGCCAGCCGGGCUUACACUGCUAUUAUUUCAAGUCCUUUGCAUGGAAUACCCCAAUCCUGAUUCCUUGGAGGGUCUCCAGCUCGUAGAGACUGUUUCCAAUUGGUUUAACGACUCGACAUUUGACAUACUUCGGACAAAACUUGCCAUUAAUCCGAUUCUUGAAAUCACUUAGCACGAAAUUCCGUUUGAAAACUUCUUGCCCCGAAACAUAGUGGAUUUCCCGCGUUUUUAAAUUAUAAGUCUUAGCCUCUCUCUCAUAUGCUCUAUGCAGAUUCUUCUGGACUUCCUAGCGGGUGAUUUGUUGCUGGUCCUGUCUGGAAAGAUGUUGGACUUCGGCAUCCGUUAAGGCUCCUAGUUUGCGAGCGAGUUUGUAAUCCUUUCCGCUUGUAAACAUAUGCUGUCCAAACAGCACAAAAUAUGGCGAGGUUUCAAUGCUAUGGUGUAUAGCGCUUCAAGCCGCACCUUGGAUGUCGGGCAGUCUCUCGUCCCAACGUGUGUGGUCGUCUCCAACAUAUGUCCUUAUCGCCGCUAGGAUAGUUUGGUUGACCCUUUCCUCUGCGUUUGCCUGUGGUGCGUAAUUUCCAGAUCGCAUGUGGGUUAUUUCUCGCCGACUUCAGAAAUUUGUAAACUCCUCUGAUGUGAACUGUCUGCCGUUAUCCGUAUGAACGAUUUCUGGAACCCCAAACAUGGAAAAUAUCUCGCUGUGCAGAAAUCGGAUCACCGCCUUUGCCGUCGCUUUUGGCAUUGCUUUCAACCAAAUGAACUUUGACAUAUGAUCAAGGACUACCAGAAUAACCGCAUUACCACUUCGCGACCUUGGG
Molecule: long non-coding RNA, 1253 nt
Organism: Drosophila grimshawi
Lineage: Eukaryota; Metazoa; Arthropoda; Insecta; Diptera; Drosophilidae
Exons: 3
Source: RefSeq, a predicted model, not a curated record